Molecule: non-coding RNA, 1580 nt
Organism: Lolium perenne
Lineage: Eukaryota; Viridiplantae; Streptophyta; Magnoliopsida; Poales; Poaceae
Source: RefSeq, a predicted model, not a curated record
UACUAUAUUAAAGAUGAACAAGUUCCAUUUUUCUCAGAAUUUUGGGGCUACUUUCGAAUUGGUGGUCAGACGUAUCCUUUGGAUGAUUUGAUUUUCGUAGGGAUUCUCUUGUGUGCAGUUUGGGGGUGUGUAGUUUUUUGCUGAAUAUUUACUUACAUGUACUGCUAAUGCUAGGGUGUUUCCGUGGUGUGGCCGUAGCUGGUGUACCGAUUUUGUCAGCACUUCGAUUAUUGUGUCGUCGGUCGGUUCGUGGGACCUGGUUCCCACACCACUUGACCCCAUAUUUUCUCUCCCCCAUUCAUUCCUCUACUCGCGUCGAGAUCUCUCUGGAAACUCAUCUCUUUCUCUCAGUUUCUCCUCCCGAUCCCUCCAGUUGCCUCCCCCACCACAAUCUCAGCAGCACCGGCCGCUGCCAGAGAUUUUAUUAUUGCCUGCAGCGAAAGAGGAGGUGAUGAGCGGCGAUAUGGGGAGCAGCUGCCGGUGGAAAGAGACGAGGCUGUCGGUGGAUGGUGGCGGGAGGGGAUGCAGCGACCGACGACGUCGGCGAGGAUGAGGAUCGUCCACCAACACGGUCCGUGCUCCCCUCUCGGCAAUGUGCACGGGAAGCCGCUGUCCCGGAGAUCCUUGCCGUCGACCAGAACAGCAUCUCGAGGUCCUCGGGGCUAGAGGGUGAGCGGCUGGCGGCUGAGAGCGGGGGAGGCCGCGGCGGUGGGAAACCCUAGGCGGCGCGGUGCCUGAGCAUGCGAGGUUGUCAUCCAUGGCGUGUCUGCCCGUCCUCAUCCACCGGUCUGCCCCAUGCCUCUGCUCGAGCUUCCUGUCCCGGAGAAGCACCGGCCAAUGCUGAGACGGGCGAGGACCGAUCUCAGUUGGCCCGCCGCCAGCACUUCUAUUCUACCACAACUCUCCUCCGUAUUGAUCAUUAGCAUCGCUCAAAAUUACAAGCACCAUCAGCCGUCAACAUGAGUAACACAGCUGCCGAACAGCGGAAAGGAUGAGCAGCAGAUGCUGUCAGUUGUGUGGGGAGCAAUACUGUAUAUUUAGUCGAUCUGCAAUUAAUAGGUACGUCUUUUCCGUAUUUAUCUGAUAGAAGUGUAUGAUCCUUCUUUGGAUCCAUGCCUUCAUUGUGUCAGUCCGUUGUAUGAGGGUACUGGCCUGAGCUUUAUGGUGGUAAGUGAAGUCGGCAGGCUAAAAUUAGCAGAAUCAUCAUAGUUGUGUUUACUUCAUCUUUUCAUAGCUGUUAGUCUGCGGAUUUUGACGUGUGGGCUUCAAAUUAUUUCUCCAUAUUCAUGCACAAUUUGUCUGAAAUGAUACUCGAUCAUUCACCUGUACCUCUGAAUAAAUAUGUUUUUACAUAUUCAUCUGCAGAGCAUCAGAACUGGUAUCUAAUUGUUCACCUGCGACAUUGAAUUGAAGAUUUCAUUCUGUUUACAAACAAUAUGUUUAUGUGCUAGCUCAUAUUGUCAUGGGCAAGAAAUGUUUCUGUCAUAAAUUUGUGUCUUUUAGGGCUAAGGCUAGGUAGGACGAGUUACUUCUAUCUGCCCUCAGAUUAUAUAGUGCCAUUAGCAGAUGGAGACUUCAAG